Molecule: ribosomal RNA, 466 nt
Filed under: uncultured bacterium
Lineage: Bacteria
Description: partial 16S ribosomal RNA
Rfam family: Bacterial small subunit ribosomal RNA
Source: RNAcentral
GACGAACGCUGGCGGCGUGCUUAACACAUGCAAGUCGAACGGAAAGGCCCUGCUUGCAGGGUACUCGAGUGGCGAACGGGUGAGUAACACGUGGGUGAUCUGCCCUGCACUUCGGGAUAAGCCUGGGAAACUGGGUCUAAUACCGGAUAGGAGCCAUUUUUAGUGUGAUGGUUGGAAAGUUUUUUUCGGUGUAGGAUGAGCUCGCGGCCUAUCAGCUUGUUGGUGGGGUAAUGGCCUACCAAGGCGGCGACGGGUAGCCGGCCUGAGAGGGUGGACGGCCACAUUGGGACUGAGAUACGGCCCAGACGCCUACGGGAGGAAGAAGGGGGGAAGAUUGAACAAGGGGCGCAAGCCGGAUGCAGCGACGCCGCGGGGGGGAUGACGGCCUUCGGGUUGUAAACUCCUUUCGCUAGGGACGAAGCUUUUUGUGACGGUACCUAGAUAAGAAGCACCGGCUAACUACGUG